UACGUAGGGGGCAAGCGUUGUCCGGAUUUAUUGGGCGUAAAGAGCGUGUAGGCGGCCUGAAAGGUCAGCUGUGAAAACUCGAGGCUCAACCUCGAGACGUCGGUUGAAACCAUCUGGCUAGAGUCCGGAAGAGGAGUGUGGAAUUCCCGGUGUAGCGGUGAAAUGCGCAGAUAUCAGGAGGAACACCAAUGGCGAAGGCAGCUCGCUGGGACGGUACUGACGCUGAGACGCGAAAGCUAGGGGAGCAAACGGG
Molecule: ribosomal RNA, 253 nt
Filed under: uncultured bacterium
Lineage: Bacteria
Description: partial 16S ribosomal RNA
Rfam family: Bacterial small subunit ribosomal RNA
Source: RNAcentral